This 1514-nucleotide long non-coding RNA is filed under the name Rattus norvegicus (Norway rat). RNAcentral's name for it is "long non-coding RNA NONRATT013756". The record is from RNAcentral. Lineage: Eukaryota; Metazoa; Chordata; Mammalia; Rodentia; Muridae.
AAACAAGCUUUGUAUGAAGGUUCUUCAGCUCUCUAGAGGCAAAGGCUUGAAGAAAAAGGAAGCAGCAUGGUACUCUUCUUCAAAUUUUCAAAUGUUAUUUGAACAGUAACGGUAAGACUCUGAGGAGCUGAGGAGCACUGAAAAUUUAAAAUUCUUGUCAUGUGUAUCUUUUGUCUUGGGAGGACAUUGGCUUUAUCAUAUUUGUAGUGGAGGGCCUCUAAGCCUUAGGUAAAGAAAUAUGAACUCUAAUGAUUAAGGCUCAAACCCCUGAGCCAGAAGUGAGCUCAUGCCAGUAGCACUGAGCUGGAUGGGCUUUUGUUUCAGAAGCAGGUAUGUGAUGAUAUCAGCCGACGCUUGGCACUGCUUCACGAACAGUGGGAUGGAGGGAAGUUGUCAGUACCUGUAAAGAAGAGGAUGGCACUGCUGGUACAAGAACUUUUACACCACCAGUGGGAUACAGCAGAUGACAUUCAUCGAUCACUCAUGGUUGACCAUGUGACUGAGGUCAGUCAGUGGAUGGUGGGAGUUAAAAGAUUAAUUGCAGAAAAGAGGAGUCUAUCUUCAGAGGAGAACAAAGAAGAGACAUCUACAGUGGCACCUGAGAACCAGACAAUACCAGGCUUCCAACCAUCUUCAUAAUGCCGGUGGCUCCCCAGACUCACCUCACAUGACUUCUAUGCCUUAGUGUGGACGGCCUCUUCUCACUUGGCUCCCUUUUACCACCAGGGAGACUGCUGGUCUUGAUGGGCCUGACCAAAGAUCCUACCUAGGCUACUGCAAGAUCACUUGUUACUCAUGUGUACAUUUCAAUAAACUUCUCAAUGGUGGGAAGUGGGUAGGAAAGGUGAGCCAUUCUGAGCCAGACUGGUUCUUUCUGAUGUCAGCUCCCCUGCUCCAUGGAUACUACUGCUUGUUCCAUUCAUCAAGAAGGGCCUUGACAGGGAUAACCAGAUUGCUCCUGCUCUUCUCAAAGUUAGACUGGAAAGUGUAUUUAUAAUGUGGCAUGGUGUCUUUGGAUAAUAUCAUUUCAGCCUGAGAAUAGACUCAAACAACUGGAAAUUUCCUUUCAGAAGAAACCAUUCCUUUUCUUCUAUUUCUGGUGUGUUGCUAUAGGGAGUAGAACCAGUAAUUGGGUUUUCUGCUGUUUAAACUGAAGGAGAAAAAGACCAGAUUUCUGCAUUCUUGUUGGGUGUUGCAUACACCUGUAGUCUGAACAGUUGAGACAUGGAGACUGAGAGAGGAGUUCAAGGUUACCCUGUACUACAACUACAUAGUGACUUGAGGCCAGCCAAAACUACAUUGCUCUCCUAUUCCAACAACUGGAGUACUGAUAUUGGGGUCAGGAUAAUCUGAUUUACUGAACAAGGUGAUGCCUAAUUUGGGUUUCAGUGUAGGCCCUAAAUUCUUUUAAAGAAAGAUUUAUAGGGGUUGGGGAUUUAUAGCUCAGUGGUAGAGCGCUUGCUAGGCCCUGGGUUCAGUCCCCAGAUCCGAAAAAAAAGAAAAAAAAAAAAAGA